GACGAACGCUGGCGGCGUGCUUAACACAUGCAAGUCGAGCGGUAAGGCCCGUUUGUCNGGUACGACGAGCGGCGAACGGGUAGGAGUAACAACGUGGGUGGACCUCGCCUUCCUAGCUCUGGGAGUAAAGACCUCGGGAAACGUAGGGUCGUAAUUAACCGGACGUGUUCUACUGUGCGUUGUCAUGGUGUGUGGUGGAAAGUACUGUG
Molecule: ribosomal RNA, 209 nt
Filed under: uncultured bacterium
Lineage: Bacteria
Description: partial 16S ribosomal RNA
Source: RNAcentral